GCCGCCCAGCCCCGCGCCUGGCGUGCCUCCGCCGUCGCCUGCGCCGCCCAGCCCCUCGCCUGGCGUGCCUCCGCCGUCGCCUGCGCCGCCCAGCCCCUCGCCUGGCGUGCCUCCGCCAUCGCCCGAGCCGCCCAGCCCCGCGCCUGGCGUGCCUCCGCCGUCGCCCGAGCCGCCCAGCCCCGCGCCUGGCGUGCCUCCGCCAUCGCCUGAGCCGCCCAGCCCCGCGCCUGGCGUGCCUCCGCCAUCGCCCGAGCCGCCCAGCCCCGCGCCUGGCGUGCCUCCGCCGUCGCCUGCGCCGCCCAGCCCCUCGCCUGGCGUGCCUCCGCCAUCGCCCGAGCCGCCCAGCCCCGCGCCUGGCGUGCCUCCGCCGUCGCCCGAGCCGCCCAGCCCCGCGCCUGGCGUGCCUCCGCCGUCGCCCGAGCCGCCCAGCCCCGCGCCUGGCGUGCCUCCGCCAUCGCCUGAGCCGCCCAGCCCCGCGCCUGGCGUGCCUCCGCCGUCGCCCGAGCCGCCCAGCCCCGCGCCUGGCGUGCCUCCGCCGUCGCCUGCGCCGCCCAGCCCCGCGCCUGGCGUGCCUCCGCCGUCGCCUGCGCCGCCCAGCCCCGCGCCUGGCGUGCCUCCGCCGUCGCCCGAGCCGCCCAGCCCCGCGCCUGGCGUGCCUCCGACGUCGCCUGCGCCGCCCAGCCCCGCGCCUGGCGUGCCUCCGCCGUCGCCUGCGCCGCCCAGCCCUGCCCCCGGCGUGCCUCCGCCGUCGCCCGAGCCGCCCAGCCCCGCGCCUGGCGUACCUCCGCCGUCGCCUGCGCCGCCCAGCCCCGCGCCUGGCGUACCUCCGCCGUCGCCUGCGCCGCCCAGCCCUGCCCCCGGCGUGCCUCCGCCGUCGCCUGCGCCGCCCAGCCCCGCGCCUGGCGUGCCUCCGCCUUCGCCCGAGCCGCCCAGCCCCGCGCCUGGCGUGCCUCCGCCAUCG
RNAcentral lists this long non-coding RNA (961 nucleotides) under Chlamydomonas reinhardtii. Its description in RNAcentral is "long non-coding RNA (CREI_LNC000068)". Lineage: Eukaryota; Viridiplantae; Chlorophyta; Chlorophyceae; Chlamydomonadales; Chlamydomonadaceae. The record is from RNAcentral.